RNAcentral lists this long non-coding RNA (484 nucleotides) under Androctonus crassicauda. The record is from RNAcentral. Lineage: Eukaryota; Metazoa; Arthropoda; Arachnida; Scorpiones; Buthidae.
CUGAUUGUUUUUGGGUUGAUUAGGAAUGAUAGACAGGAGUGAAGUUUAUGAGAUUCCUUUGAAGAACCACUCAUUAAAUAGGGAAGAGGUUUAUAUUGAUUACAUUGAAAGAAAUUUGGAAAUGAGGAUUAAAAAACAUAAACAUGACCUCAGAUACAAAAAACUUUUGACAGCUCUUAGCCAGAGAUCACUGCAGUAUGAUAUAGAAGUAUGUUGGAGAAAUGUGAAAAUUAUUCUGCUCAUUGAUAAGAGCUGGGACAGAAAUGCUAUUGAGGCAUUAAAAAUCCUUAGAAAGAAAGAACGAAAAGUUAUGUAAUAAACUUUAUAGAACCAGAAACAAUCCUCAGAUAGUUGUUAAAGGAAGUAACAAAGCUGAUUAAAGCAUAUGCUAUAGUCAAUUUCGAUACUCUUGAAUGGGAGCAAUGGUUUUUAUAGCUAUAAUUUUUUAAUAUUUGUGGGUAAUUUUAUGUAUUUUAGAUUCAUG